This 92-nucleotide transfer RNA is filed under the name Ruminiclostridium sp. Its description in RNAcentral is "tRNA-Ser". It matches the Rfam family "tRNA". Rfam says of the family: Transfer RNA (tRNA) molecules are approximately 80 nucleotides in length. Their secondary structure includes four short double-helical elements and three loops (D, anti-codon, and T loops). Lineage: Bacteria; Bacillati; Bacillota; Clostridia; Eubacteriales; Oscillospiraceae. The record is from RNAcentral.
GGAGAAGUACUCAAGUCGGUCGAAGAGGCGCCCCUGCUAAGGGUGUAGGCCGUUAACGCGGCGCGAGAGUUCGAAUCUCUCCUUCUCCGCCA